UGGGGAAUAUUGCGCAAUGGGCGAAAGCCUGACGCAGCAACGCCGCGUGGGUGAUGAAGGUCUUCGGAUUGUAAAACCCUGUCGUUAGGGACGAAGGUUAUCAGUUUAAUAGACUGAUGAUUUGACGGUACCUAGAAAGGAAGCCCCGGCUAACUCUGUGCCAGCAGCCGCGGUAAUACAGAGGGGGCAAGCGUUAUUCGGAAUUAUUGGGCGUAAAGAGCGCGUAGGCGGUAUUUUAAGUGAGAUGUGCAAUCCCCGAGCUUAACUUGGGAACUGCAUCUCAUACUGGAAUGCUAGAGUACUGGAGAGGGUGGUAGAAUUCCACGUGUAGCGGUGAAAUGCGUAGAGAUGUGGAGGAAUACCAGUGGCGAAGGCGGCCACCUGGACGGUAACUGACGCUGAGGUGCGAAAGUGUGGGUAGCAAACAGG
Molecule: ribosomal RNA, 429 nt
Filed under: uncultured bacterium
Lineage: Bacteria
Description: bacterial SSU rRNA
Rfam family: Bacterial small subunit ribosomal RNA
Source: RNAcentral